RNAcentral lists this ribosomal RNA (404 nucleotides) under uncultured bacterium. RNAcentral describes it as "bacterial SSU rRNA". It matches the Rfam family "Bacterial small subunit ribosomal RNA", at positions 355 to 774 of the family's 1533-position model. The record is from RNAcentral.
CUAAGAAUCUUGCGCAAUGGGCGAAAGCCUGACGCAGCAAUUCCGCGUGGGGGACGAAGGCCCUCGGGUCGUAAACCCCUUUUACGAGGGAAGAAGUUCUGACGGUACCUCGUGAAUAAGCCACGGCUAACUACGUGCCAGCAGCCGCGGUAAUACGUAGGUGGCGAGCGUUGUCCGGAUUUAUUGGGCGUAAAGAGCCCGCAGGCGGCUUGGUAAGUUUCAGGUGAAAUCUCCCGGCUUAACUGGGAGGGUGCCUGGAAAACUAUCAGGCUUGAGGCAGGGAGAGGGAUGUGGAAUUCCCGGUGUAGUGGUGAAAUGCGUAGAUAUCGGGGGGAACACCAGUGGCGAAGGCGGCAUCCUGGCCCUGUCCUGACGCUCAGGGGCGAAAGCGUGGGGAGCAAACC